This is a non-coding RNA of Nematostella vectensis (starlet sea anemone), 82 nucleotides long. The record is from Rfam. Lineage: Eukaryota; Metazoa; Cnidaria; Anthozoa; Actiniaria; Edwardsiidae.
GUUGCGGUGGCCGAGUGGUUAAGGCGUUGGACUAGAAAUCCAAUGGGAUCUUCCCGCGCAAGCCCGAAUCCUGCCCGCAAUG